AAGUCGUAACAAGGUUUCCGUAGGUGACCUGCGGAGGAUCAUUACCGAAUUGUCAACACGAGUUGUUGCUGGUCCUCAAAACGGGGGCACGUGCACGCUCUGUUCACACAUCCACUCACACCUGUGCACCCUCUGUAGUUCCAUGGCGUGGGGGACUCUGUCCUCCUGUCGUGGUCCUACGUCUUUACACACACUCUGUAACAAAGUCUCAUGGAAUGCAUGACGCGUUUAACGCAAUACAAUACAACUUUCAGCAACGGAUCUCUUGGCUCUCGCAUCGAUGAAGAACGCAGCGAAAUGCGAUAAGUAAUGUGAAUUGCAGAAUUCAGUGAAUCAUCGAAUCUUUGAACGCACCUUGCGCCCUUUGGCUAUUCCGAAGGGCAUGCCUGUUUGAGUAUCGUGAACACCUCAACUCUCAUGGUUUGCCAUGAUGAGCUUGGACUUUGGGGGUUUUGCCGGCCUUUGGUCGGCUCCUCUCAAACGGAUCAGCUUUCCAGUGUUUGGUGGCGUCACGGGUGUGAUAACUAUCUACGCCUGUGGUUUUCUGCCAGAUAACCUUCAGCGAUGGAGGUUCGCUGGGGCUCAUAAAUGUCUCUCUUCAGUGGAGACAGCUUUUUGGACGUUGAUCUCAAAUCAGGUAGGACUACCUCGCUGAACUUAAGCAUAUCAAUA
This 672-nucleotide ribosomal RNA is filed under the name uncultured Tomentella. RNAcentral's name for it is "eukaryotic LSU rRNA". The stretch from base 246 to 400 matches the Rfam family "5.8S ribosomal RNA". Lineage: Eukaryota; Fungi; Basidiomycota; Agaricomycetes; Thelephorales; Thelephoraceae. The record is from RNAcentral.